Long non-coding RNA from Antechinus flavipes (yellow-footed antechinus), 773 nucleotides. RefSeq lists it as uncharacterized. NCBI's taxonomy places the organism in Eukaryota, Metazoa, Chordata, Mammalia, Dasyuromorphia, Dasyuridae. The record is from RefSeq and is a predicted model, not a curated record. The transcript has 4 exons.
AGGAGAUAAAGUCAUAUUGACUAUUCAACCUCAAUGCCUUAAAUGUGACUCCUGCUUACAUGCCAAGGGCAACUGUUGCUUGAAAAAAGAUAUGCUUUCUCCAGUUGGACUGAUGCUUGAUGGUACCAGCAGAUUUACAUGUAGAGGGAAGAAAGUACAUAAUAUUUUUGGAACAAGCACAUUCACUGAAUACACCAUGAUGCAUGAGAUUUCAGUAGUAAAAAUUGAUGAUGAUGCACCCUUGGAGAAUGUUUGUAUAUUAGCCUGUGGAUUCACCACAGAAUAUGGAGAUGCUGUUAAUGCUGCACAGGUGUGACUCCUGGUUCUACCUGUGUUGUCUUUGGGCUUGGAGGUGUUGGCUCUGCAGUUGUUAUGGCAUGCAAAGCAGCUGGUGCUUCCAGGAUCACUGGUAUUGACAUCAAUGAAGGAAAUUUGAGAAGGCAAAAGCUCUUGAGGUCACUGAUUAUCUUAAUCCUUGAAAAUUCAAGAAGCCCAUCCAGCAGGUGAUAAUGGAAAUGACUGAAUUUGGUGCUGACUUUACCUUUGAGGCUAUUGGGAUUAUUGACACCAUGCAUUCACUGUGUACUGUUGUUCUGAGGUCAAGGGGAAUGGAAAUGCAAUGUCACCCUACCUUACUAGACUCUCAUCCUUCUGGGACUUCAUAUACAUAGGACUAUGGUUGAAACUUGGUACUUCUUAGUAGGGCAAGAAAUGUAAUAAACUACUUCUGAACACUAUGCCAUUAAAUCAGGUUUGUUUUAAAUCUAUAUAAA